Non-coding RNA from Microcebus murinus (gray mouse lemur), 2233 nucleotides. The record is from RefSeq and is a predicted model, not a curated record. Lineage: Eukaryota; Metazoa; Chordata; Mammalia; Primates; Cheirogaleidae.
UAUAGCAACGUCAGACAAUCUAACCACAACUCAUGAAAGUUACAUACCACCUACAGUAGUGGUACUUUAGCCUUCAAUGAGACACAGAAUCAGUAUUAGUGUCACUCAAGAUCUUCAUAGAAACAGCAAUUUAGUCUUACUCCAUACCAGUGUCAACAGGGAUGGCAGCUGACGUGGAGCUGAGGGGCUGGUUUGGAAGGAAGGCCCGGACAGGACCUGUGGCCGUAAACUGAACCAAGUUGUCACUGGCCACAAGGCUGGCUGUGCCGAGCCCUGGAAACGCUCUGGGGCAGGCAGCCCACACUUCUGAGAACUUACAUCUAAAGUGCUCAUUAAUAAGGUUUACUGUGCAGAUUCCUGCUAAAGAGAACUCACCUUCCAAGCAACACAUACAGCAUCAUCCAAGAGAUCUCUAAACAACCAAUUUCUGUGCCUGAUAGAAGCAAAUAGUUGCCAAAAACAGAAAAUUUUCAAUCUGGAAGGUAAAAUCCAGAAGACUUCAAAACGAACAGAACAUGUUGCCGAUAAUAACAAUUAAAAAUCUAUUUCUGCUCCGAACAUCUCUAAAGGAAAAUUAAGAAAUAGUGACCUUCUGAGUUUGCUUCUAACAGUCCAGAUGAAAAUAUAAGUGAGUAUUAAAUGAUUCAGAACCAAAAAGCUUAAUCAAAAGAUUUUUCUUUAAAGAAGUAUGCAAGAUUAGUUUAAAAAUAAACUGGAGAUGGUAGGAAAAGGACAGAAAAUAUACCCACUGUAAAAUUACCAGAGAUGGGUAGAAAUCACCCUGACCUUUCAACUGUAAAAGAAGAUCAUGCACCUGCCUCUGAGGCCUUAAGACUCUCCUUCGUGUGAUCUGGCUGGGUAAAUGUCACAGCGUUCAAUGAGGAAAACAAAUUCUGUUUCUGCAGGGUGAGGGCAAAAUCACCCUUAGGCAAGAAUGUGACAUUGGUCUCCUUGCUCCCAGCCUCCCCUCUCUGCCCUCUCCUACUUUUCCUCUCCUCUCGCACCCUAAAGGCCAAUGCCUCUUGUCCCCCUUUCCAAGCUCCUGUUAGCCCCCUUGGGGUGCCCAAAGUCUGACUUGCCUUGGCAGUGCUCUGUGUUCCACAUCAUUCCUUCCUCCACCUGCCAACACUGGCAAAAUCCCUCAAUGCAAAUCUACGAUAGCUAAAAUUUCAAGUAACAUGAUAGGCCGAGGUGACACAGACCCUCUCUUGCUACUAACACAUAGAAAUGCAGACAAAAUGUGAACUCCAAAAGUUUUAUUUCUAGCUGAGCUCAAAAGAAAGGGCAGUCUCAGUGCUUCAAGGGGAAGCACACAGAGUUGAGGCUCUAGGGGCGGGAGCUAGGAUUCUAAUGUCCACAAGGUGGAGUGCUGGAACUGAGACCCCAGCGUAAAGCUGGGACCCUUCCAGGGGUUCCCAAUUCCUGAAAAGUGGACUUCAAAGACUAGAAAGCAGCAAGAAUUGGUUUGGCAUCUCUCUUGGGUGGUUGAGAAAUAAGAAUUCCAACCAUGUAAGAAUUCCAACCAUGAGAAAGGCUGUAAAGAUCUAAAUGUAUAUGACUCAAGUAGUCAAAAACAAAACAAAACACUCCAGCCAAGACAUUAACCAUAAAACUGGCCCCAAACCAGGAAAAUUCCCAAAGCAAAUGCAAAACACCCUAAAGGGAUACUUCCUCAAUCCUAGACACAUAGAAGUGUCUUUAGCAACACAAACACUUCCAGUUGAAGAUUAGCUCACCACCAAGAUCUACAAAUGAUGUAUAGGAACUAAUCACCACAAGGAAGAGUCAGUAGACAUGACCAACAAGAGAAUUGGCAUUUAGAGGCCAAUAAAGAAUAGAACAAUUUUAAAAGAGAUUAUUAAAAAAUACAUUAAAAUCAUUAGAGCGAUAAGACAAUAGAAAUGAUGCUGAAAGAAAAGCAUAAACUGGCAAAUGUGGAAAGGGAUCAUUCGGCACUGCUAGAAAUGAAAAAUAUUGUCCCUAAAAUGGCAUAUUCAGUGGACAUAUAAAUACCACAUGGACAGAUUAAAUAGAUAAUCCCAGCUGAAGAGAAUAUUUACUAGUGAUCUGGGGGACAGAUUUAAGGAAAUGACCAGAACACACCAGACAAAAGAGGUAAAAAUCAUGAGAGAUCAAAUCCCAUCUAGCCAAAUUCUAACAAGGCAAGCUAUUUUUCUAUAAGAUAGGUAUAAAUCAUGAAAUGAUGUAACAUGUUUACUCUCCAAUGGUUAUU